This 495-nucleotide ribosomal RNA is filed under the name uncultured bacterium. Its description in RNAcentral is "partial 16S ribosomal RNA". It matches the Rfam family "Bacterial small subunit ribosomal RNA", at positions 28 to 507 of the family's 1533-position model. The record is from RNAcentral.
GACGAACGCUGGCGGCGUGCCUAAUACAUGCAAGUAGAACGCUGAAGGAGGAGCUUGCUUCUCUGGAUGAGUUGCGAACGGGUGAGUAACGCGUAGGUAACCUGCCUGGUAGCGGGGGAUAACUAUUGGAAACGAUAGCUAAUACCGCAUAAUAGCAGUUGUUGCAUGACAACUGUUUGAAAGGUGCAAUUGCACCACUACCAGAUGGACCUGCGUUGUAUUAGCUAGUUGGUGGGGUAACGGCUCACCAAGGCGACGAUGCAUAGCCGACCUGAGAGGGGGGUCGGCCACACUGGGACUGAGACACGGCCCAGACUCCUACGGGAGGCAGCAGUAGGGAAUCGUCGGCAAUGGACGGAAGUCUGACCGAGCAACGCCGCGUGAGUGAAGAAGGUUUUCGGAUCGUAAAGCUCUGUUGUAAGAGAAGAACGAGUGUGAGAGUGGAAAGUUCACACUGUGACGGUAUCUUACCAGAAAGGGACGGCUAACUACGUG